UUAAAGCAAAAGGACAAUCUUCCACACAGG
Molecule: non-coding RNA, 30 nt
Filed under: Mus musculus (house mouse)
Lineage: Eukaryota; Metazoa; Chordata; Mammalia; Rodentia; Muridae
Source: RNAcentral